UUCAUAGAUGAUGAUGAGAUGAUUCACUUUAUCUUGAAUGGUCUUGACUUUGAUUAUAAUCCCUUUGUGUCUUCUAUGCUUGGUCGGGUUGAUUCUCUUUCUUUGAGUGAUAUGUACUCUCAACUGCUUACAUAUGAUC
Molecule: small nucleolar RNA, 139 nt
Organism: Setaria italica (foxtail millet)
Lineage: Eukaryota; Viridiplantae; Streptophyta; Magnoliopsida; Poales; Poaceae
Rfam family: Small nucleolar RNA Z247
About the family: Z247 is a member of the C/D class of snoRNA which contain the C (UGAUGA) and D (CUGA) box motifs. Most of the members of the box C/D family function in directing site-specific 2'-O-methylation of substrate RNAs.
Source: Rfam